Molecule: ribosomal RNA, 606 nt
Filed under: uncultured bacterium
Lineage: Bacteria
Description: bacterial SSU rRNA
Rfam family: Bacterial small subunit ribosomal RNA (bases 1-524)
Source: RNAcentral
CCUACGGGAGGCAGCAGUGGGGAAUAUUGCACAAUGGGCGCAAGCCUGAUGCAGCGACGCCGCGUGAGGGAUGACGGCCUUCGGGUUGUAAACCUCUUUCAGUAGGGAAGAAGCGGAAGUGACGGUACCUGCAGAAGAAGCGCCGGCUAACUACGUGCCAGCAGCCGCGGUAAUACGUAGGGCGCAAGCGUUAUCCGGAAUUAUUGGGCGUAAAGAGCUCGUAGGCGGUUUGUCGCGUCUGCCGUGAAAGUCCGGGGCUCAACUCCGGAUCUGCGGUGGGUACGGGCAGACUAGAGUGAUGUAGGGGAGACUGGAAUUCCUGGUGUAGCGGUGAAAUGCGCAGAUAUCAGGAGGAACACCGAUGGCGAAGGCAGGUCUCUGGGCAUUAACUGACGCUGAGGAGCGAAAGCAUGGGGAGCGAACAGGAUUAGAUACCCUGGUAGUCCAUGCCGUAAACGUUGGGCACUAGGUGUGGGGGACAUUCCACGUUUUCCGCGCCGUAGCUAACGCAUUAAGUGCCCGCCUGGGGAGGUACGGCCGCGAGACGUAACGUACGAAGAAGUUAGUACGCGUUGAGAGNGCCGACGGACGACGACGAGGGAGAGG